This 261-nucleotide ribosomal RNA is filed under the name uncultured soil bacterium. RNAcentral's name for it is "partial 16S ribosomal RNA". It matches the Rfam family "Bacterial small subunit ribosomal RNA", at positions 26 to 290 of the family's 1533-position model. The record is from RNAcentral.
AGGACGAACGCUGGCGGCGUGCUUAACACAUGCAAGUCGAACGGUGAACCACCUUCGGGUGGGGAUCAGUGGCGAACGGGUGAGUAACACGUGGGCAACCUGCCCCUGACUCCGGAAUAACCUCGGGAAACCGAAGCUAAUACCGGAUACGACCUCGAGUGGCAUCACUCCUGGUGGAAAGUUUUUCGGUCAGGGAUGGGCCCGCGGCCUAUCAGCUUGUUGGUGGGGUAACGGCCUACCAAGGCGACUACGGGUAGCCGG